UGUGACUGCUAGGGGUGUCCGCACAGGCGGGCUGAGAGGAAAACCGAUGUUUUUUAACCCUUUGGACCUGAACUGGAUCAUGCCAGCGUAGGAAAGUAGAAUGAGCAACAG
RNAcentral lists this non-coding RNA (111 nucleotides) under Bacillus infantis. RNAcentral describes it as "TPP sequence". It matches the Rfam family "TPP riboswitch aptamer (THI element)". Rfam says of the family: Vitamin B(1) in its active form thiamin pyrophosphate (TPP) is an essential coenzyme that is synthesised by coupling of pyrimidine and thiazole moieties in bacteria. The previously detected thiamin-regulatory element, thi box was extended, resulting in a new, highly conserved RNA secondary structure, the THI element, which is widely distributed in eubacteria and also occurs in some archaea. Analysis of operon structures identified a large number of new candidate thiamin-regulated genes, mostly transporters, in various prokaryotic organisms. RNAcentral also lists the same sequence under 1 other name. Lineage: Bacteria; Bacillati; Bacillota; Bacilli; Caryophanales; Bacillaceae. The record is from RNAcentral.